Molecule: ribosomal RNA, 115 nt
Filed under: Pteropus alecto (black flying fox)
Lineage: Eukaryota; Metazoa; Chordata; Mammalia; Chiroptera; Pteropodidae
Source: RNAcentral
GUCUAUAGCCAUGCCACCCUGAACAAGCCCGAUCCUGUCUGAUCUUGGAAGCUAAGCAGGGUCAGGCCUGGUUAGUACUUGGGACACCACCUAGGAAGACCAGGUGCUGUAGGCG